AAUCCAUAGGUUAAUGAGGCGAACCGGGGGAACUGAAACAUCUAAGUACCCCGAGGAAAAGAAAUCAACCGAGAUUCCCCCAGUAGCGGCGAGCGAACGGGGAGGAGCCCAGAGCCUGAAUCAGCAUGUGUGUUAGUGGAAGCGUCUGGAAAGGCGCGCGAUACAGGGUGACAGCCCCGUACACAAAAGCGCAUGUGCUGUGAGCUCGAUGAGUAGGGCGGGACACGUGGUAUCCUGUCUGAAUAUGGGGGGACCAUCCUCCAAGGCUAAAUACUCCUGACUGACCGAUAGUGAACCAGUACCGUGAGGGAAAGGCGAAAAGAACCCCGGCGAGGGGAGUGAAAAAGAACCUGAAACCGUGUACGUACAAGCAGUGGGAGCACAGGUUUACCUGUGUGACUGCGUACCUUUUGUAUAAUGGGUCAGCGACUUAUAUUCUGUAGCAAGGUUAACCGAAUAGGGGAGCCGGAGGGAAACCGAGUCUUAAUUGGGCGUUAAGUUGCAGGGUAUAGACCCGAAACCCGGUGAUCUAGCCAUGGGCAGGUUGAAGGUUGGGUAACACUAACUGGAGGACCGAACCGACUAAUGUUGAAAAAUUAGCGGAUGACCUGUGGCUGGGGGUGAAAGGCCAAUCAAACCGGGAGAUAGCUGGUUCUCCCCGAAAGCUAUUUAGGUAGCGCCUCGUGAAUUCAUCUCCGGGGGUAGAGCACUGUUUCGGCUAGGGGGCCAUCCCGGCUUACCAACCCGAUGCAAACUGCGAAUACCGGAGAAUGUUAUCACGGGAGACACACGGCGGGUGCUAACGUCCGUCGUGAAGAGGGAAACAACCCAGACCGCCAGCUAAGGUCCCAAAGUCAUGGUUAAGUGGGAAACGAUGUGGGAAGGCCCAGACAGCCAGGAUGUUGGCUUAGAAGCAGCCAUCAUUUAAAGAAAGCGUAAUAGCUCACUGGUCGAGUCGGCCUGCGCGGAAGAUGUAACGGGGCUAAACCAUGCACCGAAGCUGCGGCAGCGAACGUAUCACUUAAAGCGAUUCAGCGGGUUACGAUUGACGGAGCGAAGCGACGUCAAAGCGUAUACAAAGUCGAGUCGGUUUAAGGAUACGUUCGUUGGGUAGGGGAGCGUUCUGUAAGCCUGUGAAGGUGUGUCGUGAGGCAUGCUGGAGGUAUCAGAAGUGCGAAUGCUGACAUAAGUAACGAUAAAGCGGGUGAAAAGCCCGCUCGCCGGAAGACCAAGGGUUCCUGUCCAACGUUAAUCGGGGCAGGGUGAGUCGACCCCUAAGGCGAGGCCGAAAGGCGUAGUCGAUGGGAAACGGGUUAAUAUUCCCGUACUUGGUGUUACUGCGAAGGGGGGACGGAGAAGGCUAUGUUGGCCGGGCGACGGUUGUCCCGGUUUAAGCGUGUAGGUGUGUGUUCCAGGUAAAUCCGGUUCACUUUAACACUGAGGCGUGAUGACGAGGCACUACGGUGCUGAAGCAACAAAUGCCCUGCUUCCAGGAAAAGCCUCUAAGCAUCAGGUAACAUCAAAUCGUACCCCAAACCGACACAGGUGGUCAGGUAGAGAAUACCAAGGCGCUUGAGAGAACUCGGGUGAAGGAACUAGGCAAAAUGGUGCCGUAACUUCGGGAGAAGGCACGCUGACAUGUAGGUGAAGUGAUUUACUCAUGGAGCUGAAGUCAGUCGAAGAUACCAGCUGGCUGCAACUGUUUAUUAAAAACACAGCACUGUGCAAACACGAAAGUGGACGUAUACGGUGUGACGCCUGCCCGGUGCCGGAAGGUUAAUUGAUGGGGUCAGCGCAAGCGAAGCUCCUGAUCGAAGCCCCGGUAAACGGCGGCCGUAACUAUAACGGUCCUAAGGUAGCGAAAUUCCUUGUCGGGUAAGUUCCGACCUGCACGAAUGGCGUAAUGAUGGCCAGGCUGUCUCCACCCGAGACUCAGUGAAAUUGAACUCGCUGUGAAGAUGCAGUGUACCCGCGGCAAGACGGAAAGACCCCGUGAACCUUUACUAUAGCUUGACACUGAACAUUGAGCCUUGAUGUGUAG
This 2041-nucleotide ribosomal RNA is filed under the name Salmonella enterica subsp. enterica serovar Infantis. RNAcentral's name for it is "partial 23S ribosomal RNA". It matches the Rfam family "Bacterial large subunit ribosomal RNA", at positions 161 to 2141 of the family's 2925-position model. Lineage: Bacteria; Pseudomonadati; Pseudomonadota; Gammaproteobacteria; Enterobacterales; Enterobacteriaceae. The record is from RNAcentral.